Molecule: ribosomal RNA, 621 nt
Filed under: Hyphoderma nemorale
Lineage: Eukaryota; Fungi; Basidiomycota; Agaricomycetes; Polyporales; Hyphodermataceae
Description: eukaryotic LSU rRNA
Rfam family: 5.8S ribosomal RNA (bases 203-356)
Source: RNAcentral
UUAAAUGACGGGGUUGUAGCUGGCUCUUUGUAGCAUGUGCACGCCUUUGUUCAAUUCAUCCACAUACCUCUGUGCACUUCUCAUAGGUUGGCUCGUUAUGAAGGACCGUCUUUAUUGAUCGCUCGAGAGUCUCUCUAUGUAUUUUACCACAAACAUUAUAAAGUCUUUGAAUGUAAACUUUGCUAUAAACGCAUUUAAAUACAACUUUCAGCAACGGAUCUCUUGGCUCUCGCAUCGAUGAAGAACGCAGCGAAAUGCGAUAAGUAAUGUGAAUUGCAGAAUUCAGUGAAUCAUCGAAUCUUUGAACGCACCUUGCGCUCCUUGGUAUUCCGAGGAGCAUGCCUGUUUGAGUGUCAUGUAUCCCUCAACCCCCUUUGGUUUUUUUUAAAAAAUUAAAGGCUGGAUUGGAUUUGGAGGCUGCUGGUUUUUAAUCGAAUCGGCUCCUCUUAAAUGCAUUAGUGUGGAUGUUACCGAACGUUCUCCGGUGUAAUAAUUAUUUGCGCUGUUGAUCUUUGGUAGACUUUAUCGUUCAUGCUUCGAACCGUCAUUUGUUUGACAACAUAAAACUUUGCAUUUGACCUCAAAUCAGGUAGGACUACCCGCUGAACUUAAGCAUAUCAA